AAAGUGGCAGACGGGUGAGUAACACGUGAAUAAUCUACCUUUGAGUGGGGAAUAACCCCGCGAAAGCGGGGCUAAUACCGCAUAAUAUCCCUGGGUCGUAUGAACUGGGGAUCAAGGGCUUCGGUCGCUCAAAGAGGAGUUCGCGCCUGAUUAGCUAGUUGGUGAGGUAACGGCCCACCAAGGCAACGAUCAGUAGCCGGCCUGAGAGGGCGUACGGCCACACUGGAACUGAGACACGGUCCAGACUCCUACGGGAGGCAGCAGUGGGGAAUUUUGCGCAAUGGGCGAAAGCCUGACCAGCAACGCCGCGUGGAGGAUGAAGGCCUUCGGGUCGUAAACUCCUGUCAGGGGGGACGAAAGUUGGGAAACCAACCUGACUGUACCCCCUGAGGAAGCCACGGCUAACUCCGUGCCAGCAGCCGCGGUAAUACGGAGGUGGCAAGCGUUGUUCGGAAUUAUUGGGCGUAAAGGGCGCGUAGGCGGCAUUGCAAGUCAGAUGUGAAAUCCCCGGGCUUAACCCGGGAAUUGCAUCUGAAACUGCUUUGCUCGAGUCCUGGAGGGGGUAGUGGAAUUCCCAGUGUAGCGGUGAAAUGCGUAGAUAUUGGGAGGAACACCUGCGGCGAAGGCGGCUACCUGGACAGUGACUGACGCUGAGGCGCGAAAGCUAGGGGAGCAAACGGGAUUAGAUACCCCGGUAGUCCUAGCUGUAAACGAUGGGCACUUGGUGUUGGGGGUAUUGAGUCCCUCGGUGCCGGAGUUAACACGUUAAGUGCCCCGCCUGGGGAGUACGGUCGCAAGACUGAAACUCAAAGGAAUUGACGGGGGCCCGCACAAGCGGUGGAGCAUGUGGUUCAAUUCGACGCAACGCGAAGAACCUUACCGGGGCUCGAACGGUAACUGCAAUUCUUGGAAACAGGAAGUUCUCUUCGGAGACGGUUAUCGAGGUGCUGCAUGGCUGUCGUCAGCUCGUGUCGUGAGAUGUUGGGUUAAGUCCCGCAACGAGCGCAACCCUUACCCUUAGUUGCUACCAGGUAAUGCUGAGCACCCUAAGGGAACUGUCGGCGAAAAGCCGGAGGAAGGUGGGGAUGACGUCAAGUCCUCAUGGCCCUUACGUCCCGGGCUACACACGUGCUACAAUGGUCGGUACAAAGGGUCGCCAACCCGCGAGGGGGAGCUAAUCCCAAAAAGCCGAUCUCAGUUCGGAUUGCAGUCUGCAACUCGACUGCAUGAAGGCGGAAUCGCUAGUAAUCGCAGAUCAGCACGCUGCGGUGAAUACGUUCCCGGGCCUUGUACACACCGCCCGUCACAUCACGAAAGUGGGUUGUACUAGAAAUCGCUAAGCCAACCCGUAAGGGGAGCAGGCGCUUAAGGUAUGAUCCAUGAUUGGGGUGAAGUCGUAACAAGGUA
This 1407-nucleotide ribosomal RNA is filed under the name metagenome. RNAcentral describes it as "bacterial SSU rRNA". It matches the Rfam family "Bacterial small subunit ribosomal RNA". The record is from RNAcentral.